AAUCAACUAGUUCUCUCUCUAGUGAACCCCCAUUUUGGCUUUAUUUCUGGGGACUUCUCUAUACCCCAGGCCUCUUCUCUCCCCAGGAGAAAAAUGGCAAGUGGAAGGUUUGUUCCCCUGAUUGAAAGCUAUCAAACACAGCUGAUUUAUACAAAAUGACUGCCUGCCAUUCUAGCCAUACUUUCAGUAGGUCAGCCAAUCAUGAUUCCGCGGACCCUCCUACCUUAGGGUGGGCCCAUGAAACAGACCCAGCCAAUCAGCACUAGCCAUCUGCUUUGCCCAGGAAGUGAACACCUGACCAAGCUGGGACAAUAGGAGUUAUCCCGUCAGAGUCUGUAGCCCGCAGCUUUGGGCCUGCUAGAGGAGACUCAGCUUCAGGAGGAGAGAAGCAAACAGAGGCCAGUGAGCUGGCUCGACUGGUAAAGUUGCUUGCUGCCAAGCCUAGACCUGGGUUCUUCAGUGGAAGAAGAGACAUGACUCGCACGAGUUGUCUUCUGCUCCCGUACUCAUGCAUGGCGUGCAUGCAUGUGCGAGCGUGUGCGGGCACACACCCCAUCCCUUCUGGCGCCAUUACUACUCAUAUUCGCCUUCCUUCUCCAUGAGGUGAAUUUCCGUGAUCGCUCCAUGGACAACGGUCCCCAGCACACCCGGUACUACUUCAUAUCACCUGGCCUAGCUACACUGAAGACAAGACAAAGAUCAGGAGACCAACAGGAGACUGAAGCUAUCUUGGGAUAGAUGUCACCUGCUGCCAUGGCCUCUUGAGGACCUCUGUGACAAGCUUUGGGCUGGAAGGGAUCCCAGGAAGAUAGGAAGACCGAAGACUUGCCCUAACCGGCCCUGCACCAUCUGUAACAGAAAACAGACUCAGCUUCCUGCGUUGGAGAGAGAGAGAGAGAGAGAGAGAGAGAGAGAGAGAGAGAGAGAGAACACAUGUGUUUUGAAGAGAGGCUUACACUGUGCCUCAGGCUAGCCUGGAAUGUGCUACGUAGCCCAGGCUUGCCUCCAAGUCUUAGCAAUCUUCCUGCCUCAGCCCCAAGCACUAGGAUAGAAGUUACCUCACGUGGGUUUGAGCUGUAUUCUCAGCCCUCUUUUUACUUUUUACUUUGAGACACGGACUCAUUAAGCUGCUCAGGCUUGCCUUGAACUUUGGUUCCUACAGUCUCCCGUUUCUGUAUAACUGUGAUUGCAGGCUCAUAUGACUAGGUCUUGCCCUGGCUUCCCCCACCCCCGGCUUUCUAAGAGACUGCAAAACUGUCCAGCUAUGUAUGAGUUGAGCCGGCUUCAAUCUGCCCUGCACUGGGGACGCUCGGGAAGAACUCACCCUGUAUUUCUCCACUUGCUCAGAGACUCACCCAAUCUUCCCUCCCCUGCCCUCUGCCCUACUUAGCACAGGCUCAUGCAUGCUGUACACUGUGCCCUGAGAGCCCAGGCUGCAGCAGGCAUGCCUGUCCUGCCGCUGUCACUAGCUGUGUGGCUUCAGGCAAUAUAUUUACCUCCUCUGAACUUCAGUUUCUUUAAGAAAUGGAAAAGGUUUCAAGAAUGAACGAACAUAAAGGGCUUGAAACUGGGGUCAGAGAGACAGCUCAGUGGCUAAGAGUGGACACUGCACUUGGAGAAGACCUGAGUUUGGUUCCCAGCACCCACACCAGGCAGGUCAUGCCCUGUAACUCCAGCUCCAAGGGAUCCCACAUACCUGGCCUCUGCAUGCCUACACCCACUCACACGCACAUACUCACACAUAUAGAUAAAUAAUAAAAAUUGGAAGAAUAAGCUGUUUGGGGUUAUUCCCAGCUCAUAGUAAGUACUGACUGAAUGAAGAUUAACUCUUGAUAAACUGAUGCUAGGGUGUGUGUGUGUGUGUGUGUGUGUGUGUGUGUGUGUGUGUGUUCAGGACCUCCUCCACACUAGGUAGGAGACCCCUAUGGGCAGAAACACACCUUGCUCAUUUAAUUUUGAAGAGUAUAUGUGUGAGUGCCUGCAUGUACGUAUGUUCACUGUGUGCAGCAGCAUCCAGAGGUUCGAAGAGGAUGUCAGAGUCCCCACCUGGCGCUGAGCAACAGGUGGCUGUAACCUGCCAUCAGAUACCCAGGA
Alexandromys fortis (reed vole) is the source of this 2094-nucleotide long non-coding RNA. RefSeq lists it as uncharacterized. The record is from RefSeq and is a predicted model, not a curated record. The transcript is spliced from 3 exons. Lineage: Eukaryota; Metazoa; Chordata; Mammalia; Rodentia; Cricetidae.